RNAcentral lists this ribosomal RNA (506 nucleotides) under uncultured bacterium. RNAcentral describes it as "partial 16S ribosomal RNA". It matches the Rfam family "Bacterial small subunit ribosomal RNA", at positions 29 to 523 of the family's 1533-position model. The record is from RNAcentral.
AGUGAACGCUGGCGGUAGGCCUAACACAUGCAAGUCGAACGGCAGCACAGGAGAGCUUGCUCUCUGGGUGGCGAGUGGCGGACGGGUGAGGAAUACAUCGGAAUCUACUCUGUCGUGGGGGAUAACGUAGGGAAACUUACGCUAAUACCGCAUACGACCUACGGGUGAAAGCAGGGGACCUUCGGGCCUUGCGCGAUUGAAUGAGCCGAUGUCGGAUUAGCUAGUUUGCGGGGUAAAGGCCCACCAAGGCGACGAUCCGUAGCUGGUCUGAGAGGAUGAACAGCCACACUGGGACGGAGACACGGUCCAGACGCCUACGGGAGGCAGCAGUGGGGAAUAUUGGACAAUGGGCGCAAGCCUGAUCCAGCCAUACCGCGUGGGUGAAGAAGGCCUUCGGGUUGUAAAGCCCUUUUGUUGGGAAAGAAAUCCAGCUGGCUAAUACCCGGUUGGGAUGACGGUACCCAAAGAAUAAGCACCGGCUAACUUCGUGCCAGCCGCCGCAGUAA